GCGCCUGUAGCUCAGCUGGAUAGAGCAGCGGAUUCCGGUUCCGCUUGCCGGGGGUUCGAAUCCUCUCAGGCGCGCCA
This 77-nucleotide transfer RNA is filed under the name Candidatus Woesearchaeota archaeon. Its description in RNAcentral is "tRNA-Arg". It matches the Rfam family "tRNA". Rfam says of the family: Transfer RNA (tRNA) molecules are approximately 80 nucleotides in length. Lineage: Archaea; Nanobdellati; Candidatus Woesearchaeota. The record is from RNAcentral.